AUGGCGGCGGCUGGUGCAGCGACGCCGGUGGGCGCAGCGCCCAGGGUGGGGCUGCUGUACGACGAUAGGAUGUGCGCGCACGCGACGCCUGACGGGGAGAAGCACCCGGAGAACCCCGAGCGGCUGCGCGCCAUCCGGCGCAAGCUCGACGCCGAGGGCGUCGCGUCCAGGUGUGUGGACAUGAAGGCAAAGGAGGCCAAAGAAAAAUAUAUAGCCUCUGUCCAUACCCCAAAUCAUAUAAAACUGAUAAGGGAUAUCAGCUCGAAGGAGUAUGAUUACCGUCGAAACAAGACUGCUAGGAAAUUCAAUUCCAUUUACUUCAAUGAGGGCUCCUCAGAGUCUGCUUUCCUUGCAGCUGGUUCUGUCAUCGAGGUUGCUGAGAAGGUUGCGGCAGGUGAGUUGAGUUCUGCUAUCGCUCUUGUCAGGCCUCCAGGCCACCAUGCUGAACAUAAUGAGCCAAUGGGAUUUUGUCUCUUCAACAACGUGGCUAUUGCAGCAAAUUAUCUCUUAAAUGAGAGGCCUGACCUAGGUAUCAACAAGAUAUUAAUCGUCGAUUGGGAUGUUCAUCAUGGAAAUGGCACACAGAAGAUGUUUUAUAGUGACUCUCGUGUAUUGUUCUUUUCAGUGCACAGAUUUGAUUACGGAAGCUUCUACCCUUGUGAAGGGGAUGCAUCUCACUGUUUCAUUGGGGAAGGAGCUGGUGAAGGGUACAACAUUAAUGUGCCCUGGGAGCAUGGUAAAUGUAGUGAUGCAGAUUAUGUUGCUGCAUGGGACCAUGUACUGCUUCCUAUUGCAGAAGCAUUUGAUCCUGAUAUAAUAUUACUGUCUGCUGGGUUUGACGCAGCAAUGGGUGAUCCUCUUGGUGGUUGCUGCAUCACUCCAGAUGGAUAUGCACUGCUACUAACAAAGCUGUUAGGUUUUGCAAAAGGAAGGAUUGUGAUGGCUCUUGAAGGAGGCUAUAACCUUAAGUCCAUAGCAAACUCAGUUUGUGCUUGCACAAAAGUUUUGUUGGGAGAUAACUUCACAUAUAACUCUCCACGGAUGCAACCAUUUGAAUCUACAUGGAGAGUCAUACAAAUGGUANNNNNNNNNNNNNNNNNNNNNNNNNNNNNNNNNNNNNNNNNNNNNNCGGAUAAUGUACCUUUGAGGAGUGCACCGUCAUAUAUCGAGCCGUACGCAUCCUCUGGUUCUGAGUCUGAUGUUGAAGAUGUUAGUGAGCUUCCUGAUGCUAUUUCAUCUGUCAAUGUUACUCAAGUUGUUGAUGAUGUUUUAAGUAAACACAUCACAAUGUUGAAACUUGACGAAGAUAACCUCGUGACGAAGAACACCUCAAGUGAUUCAGUUCAAGCACAAGACGACGUACCUGUUGUGGCGUCUACAAGAAUAUAUGAUCUACCAUUUACUUGGAGAUCAGCAUUGUCAAAAGUUUAUGUUUGGUAUGCCAGCUUUGGUUCAAACAUGUGGAAACCAAGGUUCUUGAGCUACAUUGAAGGGGGGAAGGUUGAUGGUAUGAGUAUAUCAUGCUUUGGUUCACAUGACACAAGCCCACCAAGAGGUACCAUGUGGAAGACUGUGCCUCAUAGAUUGUUUUUUGGGAGAUCUUCUACCCCUUGCUGGGGUACCGGUGGUGUUGCUUUCCUCAACCCUGAGACAAACUACAAUGAUGAGUCAUAUGUCUGCAUGUACAAAAUAACGCUUGAGCAGUUCAAUGAUGUAUUGUUUCAAGAGAACAGGUUAGUGAAGGAUAACAGCGAAGAUGGAAAACUUGAGUCUCCCAGCUCUCCUUUGAUUGGCUUGUCCGAAAUAGAGUCUGUCUCUUCAAACAAAGCUCUUCAUCUUGAACCUAUCAAGGAUAGCUGGUACUCCAAUGUACUUCACCUUGGAGAGGAGGACGGCCUUCCAAUCUUAACUAUGACAUGCCCCUCAACAGCUGUUGCGCAGCACAAAUCUGGCGAGCUGCCAUUAGCUCCUCCAUCUGAGACCUACUCCGCCACUCUGAUCAAGGGACUCGUGGAAGGGAAGCAGCUGGACGCCAACGAGGCCGCCAACUACAUCUCCUCUGCUGCCGCAAGAAGCCUGUGA
Molecule: ribosomal RNA, 2082 nt
Filed under: Triticum aestivum (bread wheat)
Lineage: Eukaryota; Viridiplantae; Streptophyta; Magnoliopsida; Poales; Poaceae
Description: partial small subunit ribosomal RNA
Source: RNAcentral